GGGUCAGUAGGUUGGUCGUGCCACCGGUACGUACUGGUCUCACUGAUUCCUCCUUCCUGAAGAACCGUAAUGCCAUUAAUUUGGUGUUGCGGGGAAACAGGACUGUUACUUUGAAAAAAUUAGAGUGUUUAAAGCAGACUAACGCUUGAAUACAUUAGCAUGGAAUAAUGAAAUAGGACGAUCGAUCCUAUUUUGUUGGUUUCUAGGAGUGACGUA
This 216-nucleotide ribosomal RNA is filed under the name Glomeromycotina sp. RNAcentral describes it as "partial small subunit ribosomal RNA". The stretch from base 40 to 216 matches the Rfam family "Eukaryotic small subunit ribosomal RNA", at positions 686 to 864 of the family's 1831-position model. The record is from RNAcentral. Lineage: Eukaryota; Fungi; Glomeromycota.